CAGUAGCCACGGGAAUACGGAGGGUGCAAGCGUUAAUCGGAAUUACUGGGCGUAAAGCGCACGCAGGCGGUCUGUCAAGUCAGAUGUGAAAUCCCCGGGCUUAACCUGGGAACUGCAUUUGAAAUUGGCAGGCUAGAGUCUUGUAGAGGGGGGUAGAAUUCCAGGUGUAGCGGUGAAAUGCGUAGAGAUCUGGAGGAAUACCGGUGGCGAAGGCGGCCCCCUGGACAAAGACUGACGCUCAGGUGCGAAAGCGUGGGGAGCAAACAGGAUUAGAUACCCGCGUAGUCCCUGUCUCUUAUAC
RNAcentral lists this ribosomal RNA (301 nucleotides) under uncultured bacterium. RNAcentral's name for it is "partial 16S ribosomal RNA". It matches the Rfam family "Bacterial small subunit ribosomal RNA", at positions 509 to 807 of the family's 1533-position model. The record is from RNAcentral.